Esox lucius (northern pike) is the source of this 1737-nucleotide long non-coding RNA. The record is from Ensembl. NCBI's taxonomy places the organism in Eukaryota, Metazoa, Chordata, Actinopteri, Esociformes, Esocidae.
UUUUAAUAAGUUUCAUGAAACAGACAAAGCGGUAUGACAGCUUCCUUCUUAUUCCAUUGGAACACAGCAGCAAGUGGAAGGAGUGGACUGGAACAAAUGGCCGACCGUGUGUCUGUAUGUGUGGUGUGUGUAUGUAUCUGCGCUGUAUGUAUGUGUGUGUGUGUGUGUGUGUGUGUCCGUGCGUGCGUGUGGGUGUGUGUGUUUGCGCGUGUAGCAGAGUUUGUGGUGUCUGAUCAAACAACAGCAUCUUCUGCUCUCAGUGAAUCAUGAUGCUAUGAGAAGUGAUCAUUAAAUGCCUUUUAACACGGGCCAGAAACAUGCGCACAUUCAAGAGACGACUGGGGCACUCCUCGUCUGGUGCUGACCCAUAGGUUGCAAUCACUUAUUUGGACUGGACGUAACCUGGGCUUCAGACACGUUCCCACAGGCUCCCCCCUGCACGGCUGUCCCUCUGCGAAGCUCACAUGACUAUCAAUGCGUAGGGGACACAGAAUGGCCAGGAGGCCUUCAAAACACCAGGACUACAAGGACCUUUGAGGGGUACAGGGAACAAAUCUGAAUCUUUGCUCACGGCACAUCAAAAAAAACAGAAUGGCGUCAAUCCGGUUCAUAGCGACAAUCACCGGAGGCCACCUUGGAAAUCAGACGAAGGCCGAGACGAAGGCUGAGACGAAGGCUUCAUACACUGGACUACACAGCAGUGUCAUGUAUGUCGCUCCCUAUGUGACUAUUAUGUCACUGCAUAUGUACAGCGUUAAAGUGUCACAUAUUCACAAAACACGUGUCGCCUUUUACCGGCGGUGUGCGCAGAAACAAAUGUUGCAAAUGACGAGAGGGACGACAUUCUCAUUCUCACCUUCAGUCACUCACUGGUACUGUAACCUGGCACCUGACCUAGUGUGUGGUAUAUAUUUCUUGCUGUCCUCUUACUCUCACAAUCUCCGCUUCUCUCUCUUCUAUCCUGUCUUGGCAGCGUCCUGUCUUCAUCUUGUCAUCCCUAUUCUCUUCUUCCCAUGUAGAUUCUCACCCUCGUUUACACACUCCGCGGUACCCAUUCUGCAUCACUGAUGCAUUGCCCUCCCCUCCUCGAUGACCAGUGUUUUGCUGAUCUGGUGGGUGGAGCCCUGCGGCAGCCGCGGUAACCUGGUGUCUCUGCCCUCUCGGAUUCAAAGGUCAGGAGUGAAAGGUCAGUGAACGAGAUAGAAAUGACAUCAAAUCAGAAACCAAAAAGAGUUGCAUUUGAAAAUGUACUUUCAUAGUGGUGGUUGACAAUAGAGAGCGCUUGGCGCCUUACACAUUAGCCAAAGUCCUACAACGCCUGCGUUGUCGACCACAAGUACAAAUCAGUUGUUGUGCGGCUAGAAUACUUUAAGCUCACCCCCGUCUUACCGAGCAGGUAUGAAUUUAAUACGGUGGUGUGUUGUGGUACCAUACAUGUAUGUACGGCUGUGUGCUGUGGAAUUGCUUGCCGUGCCGUUGUGCUGUCACGGCAACAGAACCUGGUGCUAUGAGGUCACCCGAGUAGUGAGCCUAGGCCCAUGUGCAGCAGUGGGGCCUUCCAGUCUUAUCACGCGUUCCUCAAUGGUGCUCCAGACACUACCUCCCUACUGCCUGCCUGCUCCUGUGUCAGUGUACUGCCCCCUGGAGGCCAGGGGGGAAACUGAACGGAAUCAAGAUCCAGGUGUGUAGAGAAGAUAUGGCAGGGAGAGAACAACUGGAGGAAAGGAGAGGCUGAGG